GGGGGUAUAGCUCAGUGGUAGAGUGCUUGCUUAGCAUGCGCAAGGUCCUAGGUUCAAUCCCUAGCACCUCCA
Molecule: transfer RNA, 72 nt
Filed under: Camelus bactrianus (Bactrian camel)
Lineage: Eukaryota; Metazoa; Chordata; Mammalia; Artiodactyla; Camelidae
Also listed under: 3 other names
Rfam family: tRNA
About the family: Transfer RNA (tRNA) molecules are approximately 80 nucleotides in length. Their secondary structure includes four short double-helical elements and three loops (D, anti-codon, and T loops).
Source: Rfam by way of RNAcentral